UUUGAACGGGAGAUAGCAGGAACUGAUGGAGGGAGGAAUGCUUCUGGUAAAACGUGACUAACAUGGAGAGAGUGAGCAGUGACUGAUGGAUUAGGUUUAAGCUGACUGUAGGUGUGUGUGAGAGUGGACGGUUGUUUGUCUCCGUGUCCCUGUGAUGGACAGGUGACCUGUCCAGGGUGUGACUCUGCCCUUCACCCGAUGUGAACUGGGAUUGGCACCAGCAGCCCCGCAACCCUUGUGUGGAGGAUAAAGCGAUAGAAGAUGGAUGAAUGGAAACACCUGACUCUGAAACAGUGGCACGCUGCCUCCAGGUGGAGUCGCCCUCCUGCAAGGCCCACUGCCAAAACUUCCUCCAACCUUGGACUGCAC
Solea solea (common sole) is the source of this 369-nucleotide long non-coding RNA. RefSeq lists it as uncharacterized. The record is from RefSeq and is a predicted model, not a curated record. Lineage: Eukaryota; Metazoa; Chordata; Actinopteri; Pleuronectiformes; Soleidae. The transcript is spliced from 3 exons.